GGCCAAUUAGCUCAAUUCUUAGAGUAUGGUGCUAAUAAUGCUAAGGUGGUUGGUUCGAUCCCUGUAUGGGCCA
This 73-nucleotide transfer RNA is filed under the name Eurypyga helias (sunbittern). It matches the Rfam family "tRNA". From Rfam's summary of the family: Transfer RNA (tRNA) molecules are approximately 80 nucleotides in length. Lineage: Eukaryota; Metazoa; Chordata; Aves; Eurypygiformes; Eurypygidae. The record is from Rfam by way of RNAcentral.